Long non-coding RNA from Helianthus annuus (common sunflower), 670 nucleotides. RefSeq lists it as uncharacterized. Lineage: Eukaryota; Viridiplantae; Streptophyta; Magnoliopsida; Asterales; Asteraceae. The transcript has 11 exons. The record is from RefSeq and is a predicted model, not a curated record.
UAACAAUCAUACAUACCUACCACAACUUUACUCUUUUCUCUCUUCUCUUUCUUCUAGAAUUGUCAUCUUCUCACCGGAUUUUCAACAUUGAAUCAAGAUCAAAGAUCCGCCUAUAUAUCUUGAAGAUCAGACCAUAAAUCUUGAAGUUUUCUAUUUGCAAUUGAGGUUUUGUUUUGAUCAAAGUUGGGUUAUGCAAGAAUCUUAAUACAAUGUUGGGUAGAAGAUGCUGGAGAAUGAACUUAAGCGUAAUUUGGAUGCCGUUUAUGAUGUGGAUUUAUGUUCUUCUCAGACUUCCACUAAACCGCGUAUGGGUGAUUGUGAGAACAAUGAAGAUCCGCCUAUAUAUCUUGAAGAUCAGACCAUAAAUCUUGAAGUUAAUGAUUUUGGUUGUUGUAUUUUUUUCAUGUGAUUCCUUACAUCCGUUAUAACAAUCUGAAUCCCACCAUUCGUCAAGCAACAGAGUUAUAGAUAUUUAUUUCUGAACCGAGUCUGUCCUCCAUAGUUUUUUCUGAUGUGAAGAGCUUCUUUCAGACUCUUUCCCCUACAAGGAACUAUUGAAUAGGUUCCUAUGAGAAGUUGAAGAAAAGUUAUGGAUAAUGAAAACAAUGCUCCUUCGUUAUUAAAGUCGAUUGAGGACUAUGAUCCUAUAUUUUUCGAAUUGUUCGUCGAC